Non-coding RNA from Heterocephalus glaber (naked mole-rat), 760 nucleotides. The record is from RefSeq and is a predicted model, not a curated record. NCBI's taxonomy places the organism in Eukaryota, Metazoa, Chordata, Mammalia, Rodentia, Bathyergidae.
UAUCCAGAUAGUGCGCUUGGGAGAUAAAAGACAGGACAUUUAAGGUAUGACCAAAUAAAUUCAGUGCUGCCUGCCAGAUAACCAUGCCAGGUGCUAAGGAGACACAGAGUGAUAUGCCCCAUGUUUGGGACAGGCCUUUGCCAUGUGAGAAAAAUAAAACAACGACAAGAUGGGAGAGAAGGAAGGAGAGCAAGCACAUUCUCCAAGAAAGGCCAAAAGGAACAUCAAUUCAUUCUGGGAUCCAAUGAUUGGAAAUGUGAUCAUAUAAACAAGAAGACAUAUGGGUAAAGGAGACAGGAGAAAGAAUGGGAAGCUGCACAAGUGGCCACACUCCUGCUCUGUCAGGGGUGUUGAAGUGUUCCUUCAGCUGAGGUGUUGGGUUUCUCGUGGGGAUGCAGCGAGCCACAGCAGAGAUCCACAGACAGAAGAUUGCCAUGCAGGAAAAUCAGACAAGGACAAAGAAAAUGCACACCAGACUAUGAAAGGAAACUGAGGCUGAGAGAGGUGAUGGGACUUGCCUACAGCCGCUAAAUGGCAAUCAUCUGCUUCAUUCCUGAGCACAAAGCUCUACUACAUUUAGUCCAGGUCCCAUGCUCGGCACAGCGCGGGUGGCAGGCUCGCUGGUCACACGCUGCCCCCAUCCAGCCAUCUUCGCAGCGACAGGUGCCCCCAACGCAGACACCGUGGCCACCACAGUCCGCAGCGCAGAUCUCUGUGGGCAGGGGAAGCAGGUAGGGAGCAGGCCCCGGAGGGGAGAGGG